GACGAACGCUGGCGGCGUGCUUAACACAUGCAAGUCGAACGGUGAAGCUCCAGCUUGCUGGAGUGGAUCAGUGGCGAACGGGUGAGUAACACGUGAGCAACCUGCCCCUGACUCUGGAAUAAGCGCUGGAAACGGCGUCUAAUACUGGAUACGAGAAGGGUCCGCAUGGGCACUUUCUGGAAAGUUUUUCGGUUGGGGAUGGGCUCGCGGCCUAUCAGCUUGUUGGUGAGGUAAUGGCUCACCAAGGCGACGACGGGUAGCCGGCCUGAGAGGGCGACCGGCCACACUGGGACUGAGACACGGCCCAGACUCCUACGGGAGGCAGCAGUGGGGAAUAUUGCACAAUGGGCGAAAGCCUGAUGCAGCGACGCCGCGUGAGGGAUGACGGCCUUCGGGUUGUAAACCUCUUUCAGCAGGGAAGAAGCGAAAGUGACGGUACCAGCAGAAGAAGCACCGGCUAACUACGU
RNAcentral lists this ribosomal RNA (467 nucleotides) under uncultured bacterium. RNAcentral's name for it is "partial 16S ribosomal RNA". It matches the Rfam family "Bacterial small subunit ribosomal RNA", at positions 28 to 506 of the family's 1533-position model. The record is from RNAcentral.